RNAcentral lists this long non-coding RNA (205 nucleotides) under Lathyrus oleraceus (garden pea). RNAcentral describes it as "Pisum sativum (pea) long non-coding RNA (PSAT_LNC004223)". The record is from RNAcentral. Lineage: Eukaryota; Viridiplantae; Streptophyta; Magnoliopsida; Fabales; Fabaceae.
UUUCGUGUAAGAACCUGGAAUUGAUUUCGAUGUAAUGUAUGCAUCUGUGGCGAGGUUAGUCGAAUGAGGCAGACAAGGUUAGUCGAAUCAUCUUAUGCCUAUAUGUAGAUAGCUUAUUGAUUACAUGUGUAGAUGAAACAUAGAUAAGAAAAGUCAAGUCAAAGUUGAUAUAGGAGUUUGAAAUGUUCGACCUAGGGAGUUUGUC